UCCUACGGGAGGCAGCAGUAGGGAAUCUUCGGCAAUGGGCGAAAGCCUGACCGAGCAACGCCGCGUGAAUGAAGAAGGCCUUCGGGUUGUAAAAUUCUGUUAUAAGGGAAGAAAGGUGAUAGGAGGAAAUGACUAUCAAUUGACGGUACCUUAUGAGAAAGCCACGGCUAACUACGUGCCAGCAGCCGCGGUAAUACGUAGGUGGCAAGCGUUAUCCGGAUUUACUGGGUGUAAAGGGCGUGUAGGCGGGACUGCAAGUCAGAUGUUAAAAUUAUGGGCUCAACCCAUAACCUGCAUUUGAAACU
Molecule: ribosomal RNA, 305 nt
Filed under: uncultured bacterium
Lineage: Bacteria
Description: bacterial SSU rRNA
Rfam family: Bacterial small subunit ribosomal RNA
Source: RNAcentral